This 607-nucleotide long non-coding RNA is filed under the name Ficedula albicollis (Collared flycatcher). Its description in RNAcentral is "lncRNA (ENSFALG00000023918.1)". The record is from RNAcentral. Lineage: Eukaryota; Metazoa; Chordata; Aves; Passeriformes; Muscicapidae.
GCUUUGUAAACAAGAAUAUAUAUGAGAGAUGUUUCCUCCUGUAUCAAGUUUCCGUUCCAAGCACCACAUGCUCUCUUUUGCAGAGGAAAACAGACUCUUUCUGCAGGUGGCUUAACUUACUGUUGUUAUGCAUAGAGCUGUGGAAGAAUGUUGCCUUCAUUCCACGAGAAUCCUGGCCACGGAGAAGAGCUGAGAACUGUUAAAUAUGGAAGCAUCUAAAGGAAAACUGGAAACUGCAGUGGUACAUGAACAAUUCACAGGGCUACUGAAGCACAAAGCUGUUAAAAAUGUGAGUUCCCACUGGCAUUGUAGAAAAAUCCAUUUCACAUUUUUAAGGUGGGGUACAAUUUCCAAGGCACUGCCACAUGUUUGCUUUUGAUGCAUGAAGCCUAAGGAGCAGUCUCCUUUUCUGAUGUGAGAACAUGGACUUGCCAUUGGAAACCCUGGAUCUCAGUCAAAGGUGAGAGGAAUCAGGAAUUUCAGAGUCACUACAAUGCAUUUGUAAAGAUGGUGUUAGCAAGAGGUGCAGUGGGAUUAGCUGGUGUCUUAAAAAAUGGACAGAAAUUGGUCAUUGGAGGCAAUAGCAAAACAGGGAAGAGAAUGAAGG